UGUAAAAUAAGCUAAGCAGCUAAGCUGUCGGGUUCAUACCCCGAAAAUGAAUUACUCUAUUCUUUUACAG
This 70-nucleotide transfer RNA is filed under the name Ceraesignum maximum. Its description in RNAcentral is "tRNA-Met". Lineage: Eukaryota; Metazoa; Mollusca; Gastropoda; Littorinimorpha; Vermetidae. The record is from RNAcentral.